GACGAACGCUGGCGGCGUGCCUAAUACAUGCAAGUUGAGCGAUGAAGAUUGGUGCUUGCACCAAUUUGAAGAGCAGCGAACGGGUGAGUAACGCGUGGGGAAUCUGCCUUUGAGCGGGGGACAACAUUUGGAAACGAAUGCUAAUACCGCAUAACAACUUUAAACAUAAGUUUUAAGUUUGAAAGAUGCAAUUGCAUCACUCAAAGAUGAUCCCGCGUUGUAUUAGCUAGUUGGUGAGGUAAAGGCUCACCAAGGCGAUGAUACAUAGCCGACCUGAGAGGGUGAUCGGCCACAUUGGGACUGAGACACGGCCCAAACUCCUACGGGAGGCAGCAGUAGGGAAUCUUCGGCAAUGGACGCAAGUCUGACCGAGCAACGCCGCGUGAGUGCAGAAGGUUUUCGGCUCGUAAAACUCUGUUGGUAGAGAAGAACGUUGGUGAGAGUGGAAAGCUCAUCAAGUGACGGUAACUACCCAGAAAGGGACGGCUAACUACGUG
RNAcentral lists this ribosomal RNA (497 nucleotides) under uncultured bacterium. RNAcentral's name for it is "partial 16S ribosomal RNA". It matches the Rfam family "Bacterial small subunit ribosomal RNA", at positions 28 to 507 of the family's 1533-position model. The record is from RNAcentral.